CCUACGUGGAGCUGCAGUGGGGGAUAUUGCACAAUGGGCGAAAGCCUGAUGCAGCGACGCCGCGUGAGGGAAGACGGUCUUCGGAUUGUAAACCUCUGUCUUUGGGGAAGAAUAGAGACGGUACCCAAAGAGGACGAUCCGGCUAACUACGUGCCAGCAGCCGCGGUAAUACGUAGCGAGCGAGCGUUGUCCGGAAUUACUGGGUGUAAAGGGAGCGUAGGCGGGCUUGUAAGUCGAAUGUCUAAUCCACCGGCUAAACCGGGGAUCGCGUUCAAAACUGGAGGUCUUGAGUGAAGGAGAGGGAGGCGGAAUUCCUAGUGUAGCGGUGAAAUGCGUAGAUAUUAGGAGGAACACCAGUGGCGAAGGCGGCCUGCUGGGCUUUAACUGACGCUGAGGCUCGAAAGCGUGGGGAGCAAACAGGAGUAGAUACCCCUGUAGUC
Molecule: ribosomal RNA, 440 nt
Filed under: uncultured bacterium
Lineage: Bacteria
Description: partial 16S ribosomal RNA
Rfam family: Bacterial small subunit ribosomal RNA
Source: RNAcentral